Molecule: long non-coding RNA, 22492 nt
Filed under: Physcomitrium patens
Lineage: Eukaryota; Viridiplantae; Streptophyta; Bryopsida; Funariales; Funariaceae
Description: long non-coding RNA (PPAT_LNC009124)
Source: RNAcentral
UUCUCUCUCUAAAAGGUUCCAGAGGCUUGUUUUCUAGAAGGUUCUAGAAACUUCUCUCUAGAAAGUUCUAAAGAAUAUGUCCCUAACAAUUCCUAAAUCAAAACCUAACCAAACCUUAAACCAAAUCUUAAUCAAACCUUAAUCAAACUCUUAACCUUAAAUCAAUUCCUAACCAAAUUCUAAAUCAAAUCUUUAAUCCUAAAUCAAAUCCUUAAUCAAAUCCUAAAUCAUACCCUAAACCCUAAAUAAAAUCCUAACCAAAUCCUAAAUCCUAAAUCCUAAACUAAAUCCUAAUCGUAAACCAAAUCCUAAUCCUAAAUUCUAGAUCAAACCCUAAAUCCUAAACCAAAUCCUAAACCCUAAACCAAAUCCUAACCCUAAUCCUAAACCAAUCUCUAACCAAAUUCUAGUAAUUCCUACAAUAGAUUUAAACAUCAAUACCUAAUGAAUAAAUAGUUGAUCUUAACUUAAAUUUUUCAUACUUCUUAAAAACUAAGUUGAAAACAAUCACAAAAUUUUUGAAAAAGAUUAGAAUUACCAAAUAGACGAUAACCUCAAAAAUAUGCUUGGGUAUUAGUCGGCAUCCUUCUACAACCCUGAUGCUAAUCUCCUAAAGCCGAUAUCUCUUCUUUGCACUGUUCGAUUGAUUUUUAAAUUCUCAUACACAUUGGAAAAACAAGUCUAAUAUUCUCUCACAUAAGUUUCACUCAAAUUCAACUAGUAGAUUGCAAGAAAUCUUAAAAAUCCUUACUAGACUUAAAAUUCUAUUUUUUGAAAUCUUGACCUAGUUAAACCUCAAUGAUCCUCAAUUUAACCAUUAGAUUGAAUUCAAAUUCACAAAACAUAUUAAACACAACUAUAACCAUGAACCCACAAAAUUUCAUCCAUAGAUCUGCUACAAAACUCUUGAAAACAUCCAAAACAUAAAUCCUAUUUUAUUUCACAAAACCCAAGUCAUGCAAAACAAACCUUGACUUUGCAAAGCUCUUACAAAGUCAAUACAAAUCUAAAUCAUCCAAAUCUAAUGCUCAUACAAAUCUUAUCUAAUCUUCUAUGAAAUUCCACUUUCCGAUCUGCCAAAGAGUCCCGGAGUCAUCGUCAAGACUCGGUUUUGUGCCUCAGGGUCUGAUUUUGAUCCUAGUUCAUAACCGGCCCUCUCCGGGUAUCAACAUCUAAUUUUCUAAGUAAUGGUUACUAGAAUUUACUCUUAACUUCCUCCUAAAGAUGUCUAUAUCAUUUAUUUUUCUAAUCUAUCUUAUUUUGCCUUAUUAUUGGCCCUACAAAGUAAGUAGAAGCUAUUUUUUUCUAUAAAAGCAGCAUUACUACUAAAAGUUUUACUACCUUCUUAUCUUUUAUCCAUAUUUUUCUACUUUUUCUUUUAACUUGAUUCUUCUAUAAUAAGAUCCAUAUUAUCAUCUUUCACCAUAUAGUCAUGUUACAACAUGACAACGUGAUGCAAAAGUUAAAUUGUGAUAAAAAUAUAUUCCAACAUACUUGGUAAUGGUUCAAGACUCACGCUGACAUGAAGUAUUCAAGAUUCUUAUGAUUUGUAUAAAAAAUCACUUGAUGAGAGGCCCCUUCAAGAAAGUGGCACCAUUUUUGAAAAGAAUUCACAAUGGUAAGCCAUAAAUAUAAAUUUUUACUUCUAAAUCCAAGUUAUAGGAUGAAUUCAAUUAAGAGUUGCUUGUAAUUGGUGGUAUGAAGUGAAGUAAGCAAAUAAAAAGAACAAAAGAAGAACAACUACAAAGAAAUUGAAAUAAAUAACAUGAAGUAAUUCCAAUACCCAAAACUAAGUCAUAGUCUAUCCAUUGUGUUUUCAUCCAAUAAAAAAUAAAAGUAAAAAAUAAAAAAUAAAAAAUAUAUUUUUAAAUAGGUAAUUUUAUUAUCUUUUCAAUGACAUAAGAACCAUGUAAAUCCGAAUUACUAUGAAUAAGUUAUGAAGUUUUUACAAUUCUGACCAACAUUUUUAUAAUUUAAGGCUAUAUUUUUCUACUUUGGAAAUUUUUGAUAAUAAUAAAAAUCAAUUUUAAUCCACUAUAAAUCCUAUAUUUUAUACUAAUAAUUAAAAUGACAUGAGGUUCUUUGUCAUGCUUCUUUUAACUACUAACAUUUAUAGUUUUUAUAAGUAGUGCAUAUAGAUAGAAUACCAAUAUAAAUAUUGGUCUUAAUAAUAAUUCUUAAUAUUCAACAAUGAAUAAAAAUACUACAGCAAUGAAGAUAAUUAUCUUCAAGACUUACUAAGGCUCUAUUUCCACUACUAAUAUUCUAAGUUUCUAUUUCUCUAAGGAUUUUUAUGCUACUCACUAUAUAUUAUGAUUUAAAGCAUUCUAAAUGCAUAUUUUUAUCCUAAAACAAUAAGUGAGUUAAUUUGAUGAUUUUUAUAUGGCAACUCUUUAUUGUAGAUUUUGUAGUUGAUUUUUGCCACUAAAAAUUUUCUAGAAUGGAAUGCAGUAGGCUGAAGUUUUUCAUCUUUUCUAUAUUAUGACAAGAUUGCUAUCAAUACAAAGUCUAAGGCAUCAGUCUCCAUAAAGUAGGGCUUAUUGAAAUCUGGAUAUAUCAAAAAUUGGAGCUAAUAAAAAAGUAUCUUUUAAGUAUUUUAAAAAUCUUCCUCUACUUUGGAGGUCGAGUCUAACUUGUCCUUGUAUAUCAACUGCAUAAGUGGAGCAGUGAUCUUAGAAUAAUUCUUAACAAAAAUUUAUAGAAGUUUGUAAAUCUAAGAAAGUAUUAGACAUCAAGUAUAAUUUUUGGCUUUGUCCAAUUAAUGAUUGCUUGUACCUUCUUUAGAUCCAUAAAAAGGCCUUUGUUGGAAAUAAUAUAUCCAACAAAUUUGACUUGAGGUGCAUAAAAUACACACUUCUCUAGUUUUACAUGUAGCUCAGUACUUCAUAGCUUUUCUAACACAAGGUAGACAUAUUUUUUGCAGUCUUUUGGAUUCUUAGAAAAGUUUAAAAUAUCAUCCAAAUAGAUCACAAAAAAGUCGUCAAGAUGCUUACAAAAUAUAUCAUUUAUUAUGUGUUGGAAUAUAAUCGGUGCAAUGGUAAGUCCAAAAGGCAUGAUAUUGUAUUCAAAAUGUCCAUACCUCGUACAAAAUGUUGUCUUCCAUUCAUCUCCCUCCUUAAUGUAUACCAAGUUAUAUACACCUUAUAGAUCAAUCUUUGUAAAGAUCUUUUCUUGGCUAAGUUGAUCAAGAAGUUCAGAUAUCAAUAGUAAUAGAUAUCAAUUCUUUAUUGUGAUUUUAUUAAGAUUGCAAUAAUCAACAUACAUCCAUUGUUGUAUUGCAUGGUUUUCUAUCUGAGAAUAUAUUGAGUACCUAGCUGUAGAGAGUUUAGUUUUAACAUAUUGGCCAAGCUCUAAUAAAUUAUUUAAUAGUUUAGGUAGAAAAUAAAUAAAUAAUAUAAUAUUAAAAGAUAUUAUACUAGUAAAACCUUUUAUAUUUAAGAAGGUUUGUACAUAAGGCUUUCUAAAUAUCUAAGAAUUUCCUAACAUUCUUAGUUGUACCAAAGCAUAACUAACCAUUUGCUAGUAAAUUAGAUUUUUAAUAAUUUCAAAAAAAAUCAAUAAUCUCCUCUCAAAAAUUUAUCUUUAUAUUAAAAUUUAACCAUAGCUUCAUAUAUCCAUCUUUAAUAUAUAUAUAUAUAUAUAUAUAUAUAUAUAUAUAUAUAAAGUAUUGACUUCCAAAAAAUUCUUUUACUUUGUAUAAAAUACUCAAAUUAUAAUAAAAUCCCUUCAAAACAUAUUUUUCCUACAAAGUUUUUCUUCUUCUCAAACUUUAGAAAUUCAUAUCUCUUGCUCCAAUUGUUUGGUUUUUGUCAAUUUUAUAGAUAAUAUAGAAUUUAUCCUUAAGCAUUACUACAAAAAAAUUCAAUAGUAAAUUUGCGACCAAUCGUCUGACAUCUUAAAAACCCUAGCAAGUACUUCAAACCCUAAUUUGCAAGCACCUAAGUACUAUUUUCUUCAUAUUUCACAAAUCUGAAAUUCAAAUACAACAAAGUUUGUAUAUUGAGUUCAUUAACAUGAUUAUACACAUUCUUAGAAAUUAUAAGCCAAAAUCUUAUCAAAUUGCUCAAGAUUUAGCUCAAAAUACAACUACUAUUGAAUCAGGUCACUUACUACCCUUAGAUUUAUAAGUGCUGAUUUCAAUCUCUAAUAUCUCUUUUAUUUUGAUUUAGAAUCCAUCAAAAAAUAUACCAAAAUUAUAGCCAAAAAAAUGUUCUCUUCAACCUCAAUUGCCGAUUCUUUGUUGCUUUAUAUAUACGUAUGUUAUAUCCAAAAGAGUGACAAUAGAUACAAAAUCAACAUCUCGACUUUGAGUGUCUAUAUCUCCUUCAUAAACACUCCAAUUGAUUCAAAAUUUGAACCUAAACCAUAGCCAAAACCUUGAACCUAUUGAUCUUAGCCUCUUAAAGCUCGAAUGGCUCAAAAAAGUAAUCCUAAUCCCUAAUAUGGCCUCAGGCAACCUCUUUGAAGUCCAUUGGUCAUAAUUUUUGACCAAUAGGAAUAGAGAUUUAUAUCAUCUAUCUCCAUUCAUUCAUAUGGAUGCCCUAACUACCUUUUUUGCUACCAAAACUUCUUUUUUAUUCUUUUUUUUAUAAGAUUUAUACAAUAUAUGCCUUAAACACCAUAUAAAAGAAACAAAAUAAGAUUUUAAGGGUCACCAAUAACUAACAAAGGUGACUCUAAAUAUUUAAAAGUUACUACUAAUAAGAUCAACUUCAAAGUCACUAUCAAAAAAAAUAAAGUUAUAUAAAUUCUAAUAGAAGUCCUUUUAAAUAACCUCUUUUUAGCAUAUUAUUCUAUUUAUAUCUUAUAAUCAAUAAAAAUCUACUAACAUGGUUUUCACCAUAUUGUCUAGUAUAUUAUGUAUUAAAACACAUUAUUUUUACAUGGUAGCUGAACCACAACUCAGCAUUGUUAAAAUCUAUCUUUUUUCUUCAUAAAUAAUAUCGGAGUACCAGCAAGUGACUUGGAAUGUCAAAUAAAAUUCUUAGCCAAAUUUUUAUCAAUGUACUCUUUUAAGUCACAAGCUCAUUUUGGAAUAAAUUGUAGAUGGGUCCAAAUGGUAGUUGAGCACCUUCUUAAAGGUCAAUUGCAUAAUUGUAAAGAUGAUAUUUAGCCAAGAUGUCCACAUUCUUUUUUUCAAAUAUAUCGAUAAAAUCCUUAUGUGCCUCUAAAAUCGUUGUUGUAGCAACCAUAGGUAUUGAUCAUAGAUAAGCAUAGACAGUAAAUAUAGUAUUAUAUUUGAUCUCUCUUACAAAUGCUUUAGCUUUGAUAAAUAAAUGUUAUUUAAGUUUUGUCUUGUCAUGCAUUAGAAGCUUUUUCAUAGAUUUGGGAGUUCUAUGAUCUACUAGAAAAAGUUCUAAUUUUUGAGAUACCCAAUCUAUCCAUAGGUUGUAUUUUUAAAGCCAUGAGAGUCCUAAAAUUAUUAGACUUGAUGGUGAUCUAAUGACGUUGAAUAUUACUUGGUUGUUAUGGUUGUUGAAGGUUAUUUCUAAUAGAAUUGUCUAAUGAGUGAUGUCUCUAGAGCAUAAAGAUAAACCAUCUAUUACUUCUAUAUAUAUGGCUUUGGAUUUUUUUACCAUAAAAAUUUUGUAUGAUCUAAAAAAUUCUUUAUCAAUAAAACAUGUUGAGGCUCCUGAAUCAAGUAAUGCAUGAUACUCUAGUUUUUUGACUCCUAGCUGUACAUGUAUAAUAAAAGAAUAGAAAGAUUGGUAGAAAAUACAUGAUUUUUUUUGGUUUGUGAUAGUGAAGAAUCUAAUCACACAAUCUCUACUAUAGCUAGAUGCCUUCAUUUUUUUACAAAACUUUUGAUGACAUAGAUGCACUCCUCAUUUAAUAUGUAAGUUGAUGUUUCUCUGAACAAUUAUCAACCUUGUGGCUAGAUUUUCUACAAUACAAGCAUAGAUUAAGUUCACUUUGAUGUUUUUUUUCUUGCUCAAAAAGAGAUUUAACGCGAACUGCAUUAAUUUGCAUAUCUUUUGCUUCCCAAUACUCAUUAGAAUUGAUUGGUAAAGAAGCUAUAGAAUAAUUGGUAUAUACAUGUGGCAUAACCAAAAAACAUUUAUCUUGUCAUCGUUGAAAUAAAUGAUUGUUAUACUUCACAGCUUGACUAAUGACUUCAUUGAGUAUUUGAGGAUCUGGCAUACUCAACAAUAAGUCCUUAACAUCAUGUAGAAUAGGUAUUACUUUGUUUCUAUAAGAUAUUGAUAAAAUAGACUAAGAGUCCAUAGAAUAGUCAAUUCAGGAGGACAGAUGAUUGAUUUAAUUAUUAAAAGUGAUUAAUUACGAGAUUACGAUUAGAAUCUAAAAAUCAAAAGAAAUUAUAUAUGAGUUGUAGAAGUUUGUUGGGAUGCCAGACUGUGAUAGUCAUGAGCCGGGAUAAGCUUAGGUCUACCUCUUUGUUUCUUUGUUUUCUUUGGUAUUGAAGAAUAAUGGAUAGUUUCUGAAUAGUAAGAAGUGAGUCUGUGGAAUAAAUCAGAGAUUGAUUUAUGAGGUAUUGAUUAUGUAAUUGGAAUAUUGAGUGAUUGAAUUAUAUGAAGAGUUAUCGGAAGAUUAUGACUGUUGUUUAUUGAGAGCUAUGUGUGUUUCGACAAAAAAAGUCUGUGAUUACAGAUUGUUGGAGUGAAGUUUGUUAUUCUUGGUGUUGGAUGGAAAUUAUUUUGUUUUGAGUGGUAUUUUGAGAGUGCAAGGUUGCACAUUGUUGUUAUCAGGUGAUGAGUAUUGUUACUGGGAGAAAGCAUCGUAGUAUUUUUUAGUGUUCUAGUGGUUCGAAAUACAGUUAAUUGUAUGACCAUAACAAGUAAAAUUCAUGCACUUAGUCUUUUUCUGUGUUUGAAUUCUCCUAUACAUAUUUAUUCUUAAAAGAAUUGUAGAAUAAGUGAAACGACAAUCACAUUUUGGCGCCGGUGCCAGAGAUAGAUAAUAGCAUUGAGUAUUAAGAAUUAACUCCCAGUUUGGUUAGAUGGGAGAUAAGAAGAAAAUUCAGUAGAAUAUAAUGAAAGAGUAUGAUUAUUAAGAAUGAGAACUUAAGAGUAAAGAGACUAUGGCAGUCAAAAGAAAGAAUAGAAAGAUCGCAAGCAAGAUAUUUGUUGCGUAACGAGAAAGAACGGAAGUUAAAAAGGAAUCAUCAACAAAGUUGGAUUAAACCAUGAUUGCAUGCCUAUCGACAUAUUUGACUAUACCCAGAAGCUGAUUGACAUUAAAUAUUUCAGCACUGUAUACAGUUAGAAAAAUUGCCAAGAGUACUCGUGGAAAAUUUGGUCAAUAGACCAGUGUUUUCCUUGAGACUGUUAAAUGCUAGUGGGGGAAUCACAUAAAAAUUAUGUACUCCAUUGGAUACGUUUCUAAUAACAGAAGUUUUCAAUUCCGUCAAAACUAGUUUAGUAGAGUAGCAUAAAUUAUUAUUCAAUAAAGGCCAAUUCAGUGUAUUUUACGAUCCAUCAUUUUUACCCCUAAUUCAACCGAAUAACUUAAUAAGGAACAAUAAUAGUAAAUUGAGGAAACUUAAAAAUUCAGAACAAUCAAUUGAGAGAGGUGCUAGUUGUUUUGACAAAAGAUUAAGUAAAAUAUUGUUUUCUUCAAUCGCAACAGGUGGUCUAGCGGUUCUAAUAGCAGUACAAGUAGGUAACGUGAGUAAUUGUAUAACAAGCGUGGCUUCAUUACCUACUUUUAGGGAUUUUUUGGAUAUGGAUCCCGAUCGACAUUUGUCUCAGUUUCAGACAACAUGGGUAGCCAAUAAUGAAAAAACUGAAGAUAUUUGGUUACGAUGGUUGCCAGCAACCUUAAAGGACAUGGUAUUUGAAUGGUAAAACUGUCAACCAAUGGGUCAAUUUUUCAAUUGAGAAGCAUUGAAGAAUAUAUUUUUAAUCUAUAUUCUCCAAAUUGGUUUUGAUGAUCGACUUCGAGAAAGAUAAAUGACUAGCAAAAUGGGUCUAGGAGAGGUAGUGGAAUUAUACUAUAGUCGUGUGGUAGAUAUAUUCGGCAAGUAGCCAAAUCACCAAAUGCCAGAGGCUUUUGUAUUUUCCAUAUUAAUCAAUGGAUUAUACCCAUCCAAACUAAAAAUGUUUGUAAAAGAGGCUCUACCAAAUACGAUAACUGCAUCUCUUAAUAGAGUCAAGAUUUGGGAUGAAUGCCAUUAUGAUUAGUUUUUAACUUCAGGUGCCACGAUGAUUCCAAUUCAAGGCAAUUAUCAAAAUCCAACUUGGAAUAGAUUGGUGGAUAGUUAUCACAAAUAUUAGAAACAGUAGCCAAUUCCAAUGCCAAUAUUCAAGGGCUAGUUAAUAUCACCCCAUUGCAAGCCAUACCGCCAAAUGUGACAAUAGUGUAUGCUCCAUAUUUUCCACAUCAACAAGAAGCGGUAGUGUUACCAAUAAUACCAGCCCCAAAAGAUUCCAAUGAAACCUUGUUAUUGAACUUAACGAAGAAAAUGGAGAAAAUGGCUAUUAAUAUAGCCAAAGAUAAAGAAAAAAGCCUAUCAAUACUAGGACCAAUGUAUGGUGCAGUAAUUGUAAGGGCCACAAUCAUUUGGUAACAGAAUGCCCUUCAUCCUCACAAAUGAUAGAUCAAUGUACAUUUUACAAAAAAAAAAUACUUAACAGCUAAUUAUUGGAAUUGACAAAGGUAACAAUAAUUUCGUAAUCAGGCCAUGAUCCCACUGACUCAAUUGGAUGUCAAUCAAGUUCAAAUGGAAAGUAUAUAUGAAUGGAAUGGAAAUCGAUUUAAUUGAUAAAAUCAAGUAUUCAAUAACUUUCAAAUUAAUUUCUAUGUAAUUUCAAAAAACGUCCUAUCUCUUGAAAGAUCUUCUUGGGGGCACAAAUUUCAAGGAAGCUCCGGCUACUGUUCCAAUUUCAAGUCUACGAUGGAAGAAUAUCUUACCUCUCGGAGUUAAACUCAACCCAAUGAAAAGAAAGAAAGCAUUGGGUAUUACCUUAAAUAUGGAAUCCUAUGACAUUUUGAAGGAUCUGGAUGCUAUUUGGCAUUCUAUUUUUAUGAAGCAACUUCUAACGGUUACACCAGAAUGUUGUUCUACAUUGAAUUUAUUGUUAAUAUGGCAUAGGCAUUGUAAUAAGGAAGUUUGUGAAGUUCGUUUGAACCCUGAUCUAAGUACACCAACCAUCGAUAUUUUGAUUGAUGGUGUUAUGAUGUCAAGUGUUCAGGUAGAUGGUGGUUCCAGCGUCAAUUUAAUGAAUGCUAAUACAAUGAAUGCUUUAGAUUUAGAACACUUAGUACCCACAACAUCGAUAUUAAGAAUGGCAGAUCAUAGCCGGAUUAAACCAAUGGAUAUUUUACGGAGUGUUCAAAUUAUAAUUACCAAUAUUGCAUAUGAAAUUGACUGCAUUAUCUUUUUGUUACAACGUUUGACUAUAUCGUAUCUAAUUUUAUUCAGAUAAUCCUAGCUUUAUUAAGCAAAAGCCAAGAACGAUUGAGAUAGGGGUACUUUGACAAUUGGCAAGGAUGGAGAUAGAAUGGUUUUACAAAUGUACCUAUUAUACUAUCACGAGGAGUCUCAAUUGUCAACAUCUGAAUUGACAUCGAAUGAUGAGCUUAGCUCCGAUGAUGAUGUAGUAGCACUGAUUACAAAGGCAUCCGUGGAAGCAGCUCAAUACCCUGAAGUGGUGUACCAAUGUGGCAAUUCGAGGGAGUACUUGAUAUACCCGCCAGAUUCAGAAAUCUUUACUAAAGUUAAUAUUGAUUGGAUGACUAAGUAUGAUAUGCACCAUAUAAGUGCCUUGGACAUAGGAUUCAGUACUUUGCAUAUGUCAGACUUAUCGACUAAUUUGAAAUCAAUGCGGGAGUUGAAACACAACAUUGCCGCUAUACCUUUAUAAGAAACUAUCAACUUGGUGACCACAGUAGAGCCUCGGAUAAUUAAGGUCUACAAAGGUAUUAUGGAACAGGAGUUGACCUGCUGGACACAAUUUUUCUUGCAUCAUAAAUCCGCUUUUGCUUGGAUUUAUGAUGAUCUAAAAGGUAUCCCCGCUGAAGUUUGUAAGCAUUGUAUCAUUUUAGAAGAGAACGUUAAACCGGUAUGACGGAGGCAACAUUGCCUUAAUCUUAAAUAUUCCCUUAUAGUGAAAGAAGAAUUGGACAAGCUUCUUGCAAUUGGUUUUAUUUACCCAAUACCAAAUAGUGAUAGUAUCAAAAAAGAACAAAAAAAUCCGAAUUUGUCACGAUUUCCAAAAACUUUAUGUGGCCACCAAGAAAGAUUACUUUUCAUUACCUUCCACAGACAGUAUGGAUAACAUGUUGUCAUUAUCACCAUGUAGUAAAAGAAUAGGAGUGAGACACCAAUUAAAGUCAUUCUGUGGUGUUCUUUUGGGUUAUUUUUUGAGUGUGCUAUUUCUUAUGUUUCUUGUGUAUUCAAGAGUAGUAGUUCCAAUUAAGAGUAAACAGUGAGGAGCCAGUCACAAGUGUCGAUUGAAGAUGUUCUAGGAUUGAUGAGUCAGCAACAGCAUCAAUUGGAACUUUGGGAUGCCUAGAUCUUGAAACUAGAAGCUUAGGUCAACGAAUUGAGAGAGUACAAUGAAGAUCUAUCAAACUAGUUGAGAAAGGAGUUGAUCGAAGGACUGGAGGAGGAAGAAGAUUUGCAAUUGGAACUAGAUUUGGUGGAACCUAUAUUCAAUAAUGUAGCAAAUGAUUAAUUGGGUGGGCCAGAGGAAAUAGUAACUUUAUAGAGUUUUAUUAAGUAGUUCUUAGAUAAGAAUCAAUUGUGUAUUUGCGAAGACGCUAUACAAAUAAGAAUAAGACUAUGUAGAAUAGAUAUUACUUCGUUUUUAUAAGAUAUUCAUAAAAUAGACUAAUAGUCUAUAGAAUAGUCAGUUCAGGAAGAUAGAUGAUUGAUUUAGUUAUUAAAAGCUGUUAAUUACGGAAUUACAGUUAGAAUCUGGAAAUCAGAAGGAAUUAUAUAUGAGUUAUAGAAGUUUGUUGGGGUGCUAGACUGUGAUAGUCAUAAGCCAGGAUAAGCUUGGUGCUACCUCUUUGUUUCUUUGUUUUCUUCGUUAUUGAAGAAUAAUAGAUAGUUUCUGAAUAUUGAGAAAUAAAUUUGUGGAAUAAAUCAGAGAUUGAUUUAUGAGUUAUUGAUUAUAUAAUACGAAUACUGAGUGAUUGAAUUAUAUGAGAAGUUAUUGGAAGAUUAUGACUGAUGUUUAUUGAGAGUUGUAUGUGUUUCGACAAAGGAAGUCUAUGAUUACAAAAAUUAUGUGAAUUCAAAUUGUUGGAGUGAAGUUUGUUAUUCCUAAUAUUGGAUGGAAAUUAUUGCGUUUUGAGUGGUAUUUUGAGAGUGCAGGGUUGCACACUAUUAUUAUCAAUUGAUGAGUAUUGUUACUAGGAGAAAGAAUCAUAGUAUUUUUUAGUGUUUUAGUGGUUUGCAAUACAAAUAAUUGUGUGAUCCUAACAAGUAAAACUCAUGCACUUAGUCUUUCUAUGUGUUUGAAUUCUCCAAUACAUGUUUAUUCUGAAAGAAAUUGUAAAAUAAGUAAACGAUAAUCACACAUCAACUUUUAAUUUCUAAUAAAAUUGGGUCAUUGAUGCAUCUUCUUUUCACUUUAUAUUACAUAUUAAUUGAUAAAAAUCUAAUGCAUAUACUGUCGUAGACAUACGCAUGUAAGCCAAUAAUUACAUGUAUAAAUAAAUAGAAGUAAGUAAAAGUAGGUAAAAAGUAAGUUAAUUCUAUAGUAUUUAAUAUGGAAGCUUCCUAAAAGCCUCAUAGAUGCUGCUUUGACUUUAUAUAUGUCUUUAAUUGACUUUUUGGAUUAGAAACAUAGUCAACAAGUUGGCCAUGUGCCACACAUGUUGCUAGUUUGAAGACCAAGCUAACUAUGUGGCCCACAUGUAGAAAAACUUGCCUUGUAAGUCAAGGCAUGUAUCCUACAAAGUUAAUACAUAUUGGAGGUCUAAUAGAACAUUGCCACGUAGCCCCCAGUUAGAUAGUAUAUAUAAAAAUAAGAGUGAAGUCUUCUUCACUCUUAUGAACUCUUUUGUUACUUCUACUCUAAUUUCAAGGGUCUCUAGUUUUCUUAGCUUUUGGCAAUAGCCAUUCCAAUUUCUUUCUUCAUAUAGAUAUCAAGUUAUUUCUAUUUUUUUAUCUUUCUUUGAGAGAAGUCUCACUUGUUUUUUUUUUUUUUUUAUCAUGUUCUUGUCCUUGACUGAUUGACAAGAGUACACUUACAAUAUCAGAGCUUUGUCUAAUCUUGAUUGAGAGUGGAUUACUCCUUUCUCUUGAUAAGACACAAGCAUAUUAGAAGUUGUAGAUUACCCUCUUCUAAACUGAUAUUGUCCUUAGUAUUUUAUUUGUUCUCAAGUUCUCUCUUCUAUUUAUCUUGAGCAAUAUUAGACAUCUGCUCUUUUUUAAGUGUUAUCAUGGCAGAAUUUAUUGAAAUGAAGAGUGCAAUGGCACAAAUACAAGAAUAUUUGAGGGAGUUAAUGCUUGCUAUGCAUCAAUUCAAUUUACCACCACAAUGAGCAACAAGAUUGGCAAGAAGUGAAGAUAUAGAAAUGAUUGGAGCUACUUCAACAUCUGUACCAAAUCAUGUCCCUUCUCCUAUGGUAGAAUGCCCUUUUAGUGUUAGAGAACCAAGAAUUACCCUACCCGAGAAGUUUAAUGGUACUAUAUCAAAGUUUAGAAGAUUUAUCAAUCAAUUAUAAUUUGUGAUUGAACUUCAACUCCAAAUCUAUCCAACUCCAGGAUUGCAACUUAGAUUCAUUGGUACGCUUCUUUCAGAUUUAGCAUUAUUAUGGUUUUCAUCUUUUCUUAAACGACGAGAUCUAAUAUUGCAUAAUCUAGAGGCUUUUUUGGUAGAAUUUUAAUCUAUGUAUGGUGAACAUGAUGCAAUUCGUGUUGCAACCAAUAAGAUCCAUACUUUAUAACAAAGCAAUCUAUCAAUAACAUUAUAUGCUUCACAAUUUCGACAACUUGCAACUGAUAUCAAGUAGGAUGAUGUUGCACUUAUAAGCCAAUUUUUCUAUGGAUUAUAAUAUGAGGUAAAAAAAUUAAUGCUCAACAUUUCUGAUCCUCAAACAUUGAUUCAAGCAAUUCAUUUUGUUGUGAAGUGCGACAAUCAUCUUUUUGAAUUCCAAUCUGAGAACCAUACAAGUAGACGUCAACAGUACUAUAAUUCAUUGGCAAUACCAAUAUCCCUUCAUCACAUACAUUCAAAAGUAGAAGAUAUACAAAUUGAUGUAGUAUGUUUCAAACCUCUUAUUGAACAAGAAAAGACUUAUCGUUGUAAGGAAGGAUAGUGCUUAUAUUGUGGAAAACCUAAGCACACUGCUCAACAAUGCCUAAAGAAGCAAUACAACCAUAAAAUGAAGAGUACCAUGAUCAAAGAAGAUAGCAUGUCAGAAAACAAAUUUGUCCAACUACAAUAGGGACCGUGUGGCUAAAACCUUGUACAAUGUGUAGUAAAGGUCCUAUCCUCUCCACAAAAUCUUCUUCUUGUUUUACGAUAAACAUUAUUCUAGAACCUAAACAUCACAAAGCCUCUGCCUUGCUAGAUUAACAAGCUUGAGCAUGUUUCUUAAAUGAAGAAUUUGCGAAAAGACAUAGGAUACUUUUAAUGAAGAAAACUAAACUUGUUCAUGUAGAAAUCAUAAAUGGUCAUGUGUUGUCUUUACGAGAUGUUAUUCAUCAAACUCUUUUUAUAAAAAUAGUAACUAAUGGUCAUAGUAGCUUUGUAAUAUUUAAUAUCAUUAGAUCUUCUUCUAAUCUAGUCAUUUUAGAUUUAUCAUGGCUAAAAAAAUAUAACCCUAAAAUAGAUUAGACUUCUCAUAGUCUUAAUUUUUUUGAAAGUAUAACUAAAAGCAUAGUUAAUCAAGUAAAAAGUCAUAAGUCUAGUAUAAUUAAACCUAUAUUUAUAGGUAAAAGUGCUUUCUUGCAUGUUCCAAAAGAAGGAUCACCUUGUGUCAUUUAUGCCACACUUAUUUCUAUAGGUGGAAAGACUUCAAGUGGCAUUCCAAGUCAAUAUCAAGAUUUUCAAGAUGUAUUUGAGAAGAAGAAUGUCGAUACUCUUCCAAAACAUCGUUCUUAUGACUGCUCAAUUGACCUUCAAGUAAGAAAAUAAUUGCCAUUUGGACCAAUCUAAAAUUUAACUCAAAAUGAGUUGGCUGAACUCAAGGAAUAUAUUGAAGAAAAUUUGGCCAAGAAUUUCAUACGCCUUUCCAAAUCUCUAGCAAGAGCUCCAAUUCUAUUUGUGAAGAAAAAAGAUGGAUCAUUGCAAAUGUAUGUCGAUUAUCGAAGACUCAAUAAAAUCAUUAUCAAUAAAAGAUAUCCACUACCUUUGAUAUCUGAACUGCUUCAUCAAUUGAACCAAGCUAAGAUCUAUACAAAAAUAGAUCUACAAAGACCAUACAAUUUGGUACACAUUAAAAAAAGAGAUGAAUGGAAGACUACGUUUCGAAUAAGGUAUAGACAUUUCGAAUACAACGUCAUAUCUUUUGGACUUACAAAUACAGCAAUAGCAUUCCAACAUUUAAUGAAUGAUGUCUUUCAUGAGUUUUUAGAUGAUUUUGUUAUUUAUUAUCUAAACGACAUUUUAAUCUAUUCUACGAACAUAGAUGAACAUGAACUUCAUGUUCGUCAUGUAUUACAAAAAUUAAGAGAUACAAGACUCUAUGCCAAAAUAAAAAAGUGUGUAUUUCACACUACUCAAGUCGACUUCUUAGGAUACAUCAUUUCAAAUGAAGGACUUAUGAUGGAUCCUAAGAAAGUUCAAACUAUUAUAGAUUGAAAGAUCCCAAAAAUGGUAAGAGAUGUUCAAUGCUUUUUGGAAUUUGCCAACUACUAUCGGAUCUUCAUCAAAGAUUUCUCUCAAGUUGCAGCUCCACUUACACGUUUGACUUGCAAAGAUAAACUUCAAUAGAAUCAAGAAGCAGAAGUAGUAUUUGAAGCUUUAAAGACAGUCUUUGUUUCUGCACCAAUCUUGUAUCGCAUCAAUUUUUCUAAGCCAUUUUUUAUGAAAAUAGACAUAUCAUACUUUGCUUUGGAUGUCAUAUUGUCACAAAUGGAAACAGAUGAUAAACUUCAUCUUAUAGCUUUUCAAUCUAAAAAAUUUUUAGCAGUUGAAAUCAACUAUGAGAUCUAUGAAAAAGAACUUCUUACAAUCAUCGAUUCGUUUCAAGAAUAGCGCCAUUAUCUAAAAGGUGCUUCUAACCUAGUCACAGUGUAUACGGAUCAUAAGAACCUUGAAUAUUUUAUGUCAGCAUGUAUUUUGAAUCAUCACCAAGCUCGUUGGAGUAUGUCUUUGUCAAGAUUUAAAUUCAAGAUUACUUAUUGAUCAGAAAAACAACAAGGUUUUUCAGAUGCACUCUCUAGAUGAUCUUACCUUGCACCAAAGGAAAGAGAUGCUACUUUUAAUCAACAAUGGACAAUUCUCUUAAAGCCAAAUCAUCUUCAUCUUCGAGCAAUGAAAUCAAUACUAACUGUUGAUUCAACUUUCAUUAAGCAAGUUCAGUCAAGUAUGUCUUCUGAUCCUCUUAUUUGUGAUAUUAAAGAAAAUCCUUCAAAGUUUCAUCAUACUUCUAAGUUUGAAUUCAAGAAGAAUCUACUAUAUUUUGAGGGGCGCCUAUAUGUUCCAAAAAGUGAAGAUCGAUUACAUAUUCUUCAAGCUCAUCAUGACUUUUUAGCAGCAGGACAAUUUGGGUACAAUAAAACUUUGGAACUAAUAUCUAGGGACUUUUGGUUGCCCCAAAUGUGGAAAGAAGUCAAAGAUUUUGUAAAAUCUUGUGAUGUUUGCUCAAGAUCAAAAAUUCCUUGUCAUCAAUUUUACGGACUUCUUCAGCCAUUAUCCAUUCUAGAACAACCAUGGUCUUGUGUUUCUAUACAUUUCAUCACGGAUCUUCGAAUCUCAGGUUCUUAUGAUUCUAUAUUCGUGAUAGUAGAUCAUUUUACCAAGAUGGAACAUUUUAUACCAUGUACAAAAUUUAUCACAAGUGAAGAAACAGCUAAGCUCUUUCUUGACAAUAUCUAUCGCUACCAUGAAUUAUCCAAGGAUAUUAUAUCAGAAAGGAGAACUAAAUUUGUAUCAAGAUUUUGGCGGUCUCUUUUCAAGAUUUUUAAAAUAGAUAUAAAACUAUCUUCGACAUUCUAUCCUCAAACUCAUGGACAAACAAAGCAUGUUCAUCAAGUUUUGGAGCAGUAUUUAAGAUGUACUAUUAACUACCAACAAGAUGGUUGGACAACUCUUUUGCCAUUGGCAGAGUUUGCUUACAAUAACAUCGUACAUUCUUCUACAAAACAAACACCUUUCUUUGCCAAUUAUGGUUAUCAUCCACGACUUAAUACUUUUGACUUUUUAAAAGUUGAUAAUCCUACUACGAAAGAUUUGGCAAUUCAUUUAUCAAAGCUACAUGCAACAAUGAAGGCACAAUUAAAAGAAGCUCAAGAACAACAAAAGGUCAAUGUGGAUGUCUAUCGAAAGGAACAACCACCAUUUCACAUGGGUGAUAAGGUAUGGUUACUUUGUUGGAAUAUCAAGACCACUCAUCUUUAAGACAAGUUGGACUAUCAAAGGCUUGGACCAUUUUCUAUUUCUGUACAAAUCAAUCUAAUUGCAUAUCAUUUACAUCCAUCAGAGUCAAUGAAAAUCCAUCUAGUAUUCUACAAGUCUCUUUUUGAAUCAAAGAAGAAAGUAGACAUACCAAGAAGAAGACAAGCUCCACUUCCUUCCAUAGAAGUGAACAAUAAUGAAGAAUUUCAAACGAAAGAAGUCUUAGAUUCAAGGCAGCACCGAAAUAAAUUAAAAUAUCUUGUCCCUUCGUACAGAUAUGAUACUAGUGAAUGCACAUGGGAGCCAGUAAAGAAUCUUGCAAAUGCAUUAAAGGUGGUGGAGGCUUUUCAUCGAUGUCAUUCAUCAAAAUCAAGAUAAAAACCUUCUUUAUAAAAGAAACAAGAGCUAAGUAAGAUUACAUUCUACUUUCAAUCCUUAUUUGUAGCUUCUUUGUAGUUGUAACAUUGAAGAGAUGGAGAACCAACAACCAGUGGAUUCGACUCAAAAGCCUUUGUUUGUUGAUCUGUUAGACAAGAUAUUAUGAUUGUCUCAACCUUCAAGAUGACGCAACUAAGAUGAAGAUCUUCAAAAACAACUUAUUCUUCCUCGAAUAGAUGGCAAGAUACAACGCAUUUGGUAUCACGACCUUAGAAGGGACUCGCAAUGUUUAGAGAUUUUACUAGAGGUAGAAACAACUCUUGAUGGUGCUUUAAAUGUUUUAUUUGAAAGAAGUUAUGAAGGCCUCAACAACGAUCAAAUAACUGGGUGGUCUUCUUGCCUUGGUAUGGGACACUAUCAAUGGUUGAGAGGCCCUAUCAUUCAUCUUUGAAGAGAACAAAGAUUAAAAUAUGUGGCAAAUACAAUUUGUCGCAUCAUAGAUUUUUUCAAUAUAUGAAGAUCACUCUUCAUGGAACUUGUCCCUAGAUAAGGGGGGUAAUAUCAUUGACAUACAUAUAUAAGCCAGUAAUUACAUAUAUAAAUAGGUAGAAGUAAGUAAAAGUAGAUAACAAUAAGUUAAUUCUAUAGUAUUUGCUAUGGAAGCUUCCGAGGAGCUUCAUAGACAUUAUUUUGACUUUAUAGGUAUCUUUAAUUAAAUUUUUAGAUUAAAAACGUAGUCAUCAAGUUGGCCAUCUACCACACAUGUUGUUAGCUUGAAGACCAAGCUAACUAUAUGGCCCACACGUAGAAAAACUUAUCUUGUAAGUCAAGGCAUGUGUCCUACAAAGUCAAUACAUAUUAAAGGUCUCAUAGAACAUUGCCACAUAGCCCCUAGUUAGAUAGUAUAUAUAGAGACAAGAGUGAAGCCUUCUUCAUUCUUGUCAACUCUUUUCUUGCUUCUAAUCUAGUUUCAAGGGUCUAUAGUUUUCUUGGCUUUUGGCAAUAGCCAUUCUUGUUUCUUUCUUAAUAUACAUAUCAAGUUAUUUCUAUUUUUUCAUCUUUCUUUGACAGAAGUCUCACUUGUUUUUUUUUUUUUACCGUGUUCUUGUCCUUGACAUUCAUUAGUAUAAAACUCAUUGUCAAGGUAGAGUGAAUUUGCCUCAAGAAAGCACUGGGCGUCUAACUACUAUUAAUUGCUCAAUCAAGUCUUGAGAUAAGAAAGAUCAAAUUUAUAUAUAUAUAUAUAUAUAUAUAUAUAUAUGCACUAUUAGGAGCAAUUAUAUCAAAUAUAUAAGUCUUAAGUUCCCAUAAACAUCCAAAAUAUGAUAAAUAAAAUUCUAAAUUCUUAUAUAUCCUUACGGGAUAUUAUUCUCAAACUUCAACAACUCAUAUCUUUCAAUCUAACUAUUCAAUCUCACUCAAAUUUUACAUGAAGUACUAAUGUACUUUUAACAACUACCACAACAAAUUUCAAGGACAAAUUCAUCGUGGAUCUUAAGAUAUCACCAAAAUCCUAAUAGUAGCUUCAAAUCGUAGUUUUUAAUUAUCCACAUGCAAUUUUCUUCAUAUAUCACAAAUUAAGUACUUAAAUACCACAAAAUUUAUAUAUGUAGAUUUUUAAUAUAAUAAUCUACCUUCUUCAAAAGAUUUGAGCUAAAAAUUUGUCAAGAAAUUCAAGAUAUGACUCCAACCAUUACUAUAAAUAAAAUCACUUACUUACUACCUUUGAUUUGGAUGUGCGGACUUCAACUCUCUAUAACUUCUUCAUCCGAACUCCAAAUUCAUCAAACAAUAUAAGAAUAGUAUAGCCAAAAGAGUUUUCUCUUCAAUUCUAGUGAAUAAUAUUUUUACUAUUUUUAAAUGUAAUUUGUGCUCUAAAAAGUAAUAGUGGAUACAAAAUUGACACCUUAACUUUGAGUGCCAAUAAUGCCUUCAUAAAAACUCCAAAUUAUACAAAAUUUAUACCCAAUCCAUAUUCAAGAACCUAAACUUACUGAUUUUAGUACUUAAAGCUCAAACUACUUCCAAAAAAAAUCCUAAUUCCCAAUAAGACCUCAAGCAGCCUCCUCAAAGUCCAUUAGAUAUGGCCUUCGAUCAAUAGGAAUGAAGAUCCCCAUUUCUUGCCUUCAUCCGACCAUGCCUUACUUUCAUCCCUCCCAAUACACCUCCUAUUAGUUAAGAUUUUCAUCUUUAGGCUCUUAUCUCGUCUCAAGGCUUCAUACUAAACAUUUAGAUUAUAUAAUUUUUUUAAAUGUUAUAAUCAAAAUAGAUAAAAUUCAAAAUAAAGAUUCUUAUAUUCAUUCUCUUUAAAUUAAUCUAUUAACCAUUCUAACAUACACCAAGACUUAUGAACAUAUUAUACAUUCUAAUUAAUUUUUAUAUAUUACAAGUAAUUAUAAUACGACAGCGUUUCUUAUCGAAGGCUUCAAAUUUAAUUAUUGAAGAAUAAAUCUCAUCAUGUUUACCAAAUACUGUCAAAAAUACUUCAAAAUUGUGCAAUAUAGGAGUAUUCUUUUCAAUUAAUAAAAAAAACCAAGAUUAAGCUUGAACUGAGAGCAAGGUUCAAACCAAACCAAUAUGAGAUACUUCAGUGGAAUAUCGUUGAGGUUGAAGCAAGGUACUUAAUUAUACUUAUUUUACAAAGCCAUAAAAUUUUAAACAUGUGCCAUCAAACUUUUUUGGAAGGCUGAUCCUUGGUUCUUUUACUAUUAUUAUUGUGAAUUCAUUGUCUUGAAUGGAUGCACCUCCCAUGUUUGUUGAAGCAAAUAUAGUUAUUUGAGAAUUUGGAACCUCUAUUGCUAUUUGAUGUGGUGGUUGAUGUACUCCAACUCUUUGACCAUUAUGUAUGGUCAUAUAUAAUUCUUCAUUCUACUUUCACAAAGUCUCUGUCUUGAUCUUUAAUGCUUCAAAAGUAUUAAUAAUAGAAUCUAACUUGAUCUCUUUGGAAUUUGUCAUAUUGACUUUUCUACCUUCUACCAUGGAAAAUUUUAAAAUCCAAAAAAAAAAAAAAAAAAAAAAAAAAAAAAAAAGAUCUAUGGUAUAAUGAAAAAAAAUCAAAAUAAUAUUAAGAAAAGAAUAAUAUUAGUCAAAAAGAGGGUAAUCCACAACUUGUAGAAUGCCAUAGUACUUUCAAAAAGAGAUGUAAUCCAUUCUUUGUUAAAAAAGACCAAGCUUUUAAUAUUAUUUUAUGGUAGUCUUGACAAAUUAUUAGAGACCAUAUACAAGACAAGGAUUCAAGACCAAGAAAUAGAAUUAGCUUGACAAUAGAAUAAUAAUUAGAUAUAAGGCAAAAAGAUCAUGGCUAGACCACAAAAAAUGAGUUGUCGAGACUGAAGAUCCCUUCAACCUCGACUCCUAUAUAUACUAGGUCCUAGGAACCUGCUUGAAAAAAAUUUAUGAGACUUGGAAAUAAAGCAAGUCUAAGAUCCUUCUUUGACAACUUCCUAAUUCAUCUAAAACCUCUUAGAACUUUCUAGGAUCUAUUAUGACCUUCUAAAACUUUCUUAGAACCUAUUGAAACCUUUUGGAACCUUCUAGGAUCUACAAAACCUUUUUAGAACCUUUUAGAACCUCCUAGAACCUUUUCAAACCUUCUUCAAGUAUAUGUCCAUGACACAAAUUACAUACCUUGUUCACUAGUAGAAAAUCCACGUGAAUCUCUACUUAAAGAUCUACUUGAAGUUCCAUCCAAAGCUCCAUCAAAAAUUCCAAAUUCAACCUUCUUGCCUUCUUAUGCCAUCAAUUUUAAAACCACAAAUCCAAUGCAAUACCUUUUGCCUCAAACUUUCCUAUUGAAUUCACCACUUAUGUCCUUUUAUGUAUUGUCUUAUUUGAAAAUGCACCAAGUACUUAUCUAUAGAAGGUGAAGUUAUAUUUUACAAAUAACCACGAAAUUCUAAUAGGUUUCACCCAUAUAAGAAGAAUGUUAUUUGAAUUUCAAUUCAAAAGUGCUUAAUUUCAAUAUAAAGUACUCAAACAUACUCUUUUUAGUAAUUUCAACUAUACACAAAUUCCAAUUGCUUAAUAACUCUCAUAAUUAGAUAAUUUUGAUUUUUCUUUGUAAUCCUUAAUCCUAGUCAAUGAGCUUUAGCAAGCUAAAACUCCUUAUUUGACCAUCUAUUUGGUACAAAAAAAUUCAUAAAAGUGCUAAUAUAAGUCUUUUAAAUGCUCAAAAAAAUCCAAUCUAAUUCAACUUAUAGAUUGUGAAAAAAUAUCCAAAAAAUCACACAAAUGUCACUUGGUAGUUAACUCAAGAGUUGAUGCUGAUAUUCUACUAGUGAUUUUUCCUUCUAAAAUUAUUAAAUUUAGCUCAAAAUUUAUAUGUAGCUUAAUUGUCAAGUCUUCUAAUAUCAUGCCAAAUUUCACCUUAUUCCAACAAGUAGAACUUUAUAUAUCAUAGAAAUCCUACUCAAGUCCAAAAUACUAACUUUCAAUAUCCUCUUUUACCAAAAAUCAGAUAUUUCUUAACUGCAUUGUUAAAUUAAUAUAAAGUUUUAUUUACACUUAGUACACGAAAUCAAUCUAGUAUUCUCAAAUUUUGAAUUAUAGAUGUAAUACCAAUUUUACAAAUUAGUUAAAAGUAUUAGCUUUAAUUGUAUUGUGUAAAUCUAAGGUCACCAAUAAAAAUCCUAAUUUUGAAAAAUAAUUGCAAAGUCAUCUCAAAUCCUAUGAAAAUAAAUCUUAUGUCUUUCAAAGAAGCUUAAAGAUAGCUCUCAACUUCUAAUCACCAAUCUCCAAAUGCCCCUGUACUUUAUCCUAGGAGGCAAAUUUAGUGGCUAGAGAUCUAAUUUUGACCCUAUUCCACAAACGGUCGACCUUCAAGUAUCAAUCUACCUAUCCUAGGAAUUUUUUAGUCCAACCUUAUCCUCAACUUAAUCUUAGUAUCAAACAUAUUAAUUAUUUAUUUCUUUUAUCUUAUUUUUAUUAAUUUAUGGAUUAAUAAUCUAUGACAAUUAAGUUAUUGAUUAAUAGAUUAUUAAUUGUUAUAAAUAUGUCUCCUAGUUAAUGAGUGAUAAAAUAAGUCUCACUAAAUUGAUUUGAAUCUUUCUUAAUAAUAACAAGUUUAUAUAGUCUAGUGAUACUAUCUUAUCAAUUUGAGGCAAGGAUAGUAAAAGGUCUAUUGGAGUGUUGUAUUACAUGUGAUCUUCCUUGAGAAUGUAUCAAGUACCUAAUUAUAGAAGAUUAGUAAAAAUGCAACAAUAAUACUACCAAGUUUAAUAGAGCCUUAAAUAAACUUCAAAUAAUCCUUAAUAAAUCCAAUCAAACUUUAACCUAUCAAAAUAAAUUAAAAAGAAGUCUUACAAGAAAUACAAAGAAGUCAUGAUUUAAUCUCAAAGAAAAAUAAUAAGAAAUAUUUUUAAAAUACUAAAAAUAGAAAUUUUAAAGAAAUAAUAAAGAAAAUUUUUAAAUAUUAAAAAUAAAAAAUCUAAUAUAAUUCAAAUUGAAAUUCUAAUUGAAUCUUAACCAAAUCUUAGCUCAAAUCCUAAUUGAAAUCCUAAUUGAAUCUUAACUAAAUCUUAGAUCAAAUCCUAAUAAAAUUCUAAUCAAACCUUAGUUAAUUUUUAAACCAAAUACUAAUCCUAUCCAAAUCUUAGACCAAAUCCUAAGUCCUAACCAAAUCCUAGACAAAUCCUAAA